UUUCGAUGUGGAACGCAAAUCUAGUACUGUACCUAUUGUGCAUGCGCCGUUAACGGAGCUCGGAGCACAGCGAAAAACUUGUCUGCUAGUGUCUAUCUACCAACGGCAACUACCGUACUUAUACCAGCUAUUAUUCUGCCUUGGAUCCGCCCUCCAGAUCCAAGCUAUUCUUCCUCGUAUUUUCCAGAGGAGUUUGGUGACAAACAAUUAUAUUAGCGUACAAUCCACUGUUAUAAUAAUAAACUAUCCUGAGAAGCUAUAGAAGUGGGAUCUCGACAAGACUGAAGAGGAGACAAUUAAGUUCGACGAUGGCUGGACUAACAUCAUUCCUUCGAUCUUUGAGACAGGUGUCCCAGAAAACUUUCACCUGCCCCAAACCUACAAGCAUUCCAGCAAGCUCAUUCCAAUCCUCAAUCACCAGACAACUUCAUGAUGACAACACGGGAUCGAAGAUGCCAGAUAACAAGUUCUACGAGCUGAGAACCUAUAAAGUCAAACCGUCAAGCUUCCUGGCAUUCAUGAAAUUAACCAAUGAAAACAUGGCUCCGAGACUGGCUCACAAUAAGUUGAUUGGCUACUGGGCCACAGAUAUUGGAGGUCUUAAUGAAGUCUUCCAUAUCUGGGAAUAUGAUUGUUUUGCUCAUCGGACUGCUGUACGUGCAGCAUUGGCCAAGGACAAGGUCUGGCACGCCUCCUAUUUCUCUGAGGCUGUCCAGAUGAUAGAUGCACAGGAAAAUGCUUCUGGAAGGUUGUUACCAUGGAAACCCCUCCAGGACCAACCAUUAAAGGAAGGAGGAAUGUACGAGUUAAGAUCUUACGUCAUGAAACCAGGGGGUUAGACCCCUUGAAGAAACGCAUCAUGUUGAGAGAUGAGUUCUACUCUUCUCAAGGAUGCGGCAAGCUGAUGGGAGUUUGGAUGGGAGACCUUGGACAUGCCAAUAUGUUCUAUGCUUUGUGGAACUAUGUAAGUGGUGACAAAAGAUUGGAAACAAGAGCUGCUUUCCUGGAAUCGGAUGCCUGCAAAAUUCUAUCUCCAGAUGAUUUCCCGAUGACAGAGUUUCGUUCAAAGCUUAUGACACCAAACCCAUUCUCACCACUUCAAUAGAUGCCCCUACCAUACAGUGGUGAAUACAAGGUUCUUGGGCAGAGGGAGGGGGGCAAAAUUUAAAAAAAACUGUGACAACCGAAAAAAGGCAACAAAAGAUGGGGUCAUCCAUGCUUCUUCUUUUCGUCAUCCUUUCUGGCCCCCUUUUGGGGCCCACAAGGGGCAUGUGCCCCCCCUGCCUUUUCCCUCAUAGAAGAAUAAAGUACCUGAACCUUUGUUGUGAUCACUGCCUUCAGACUUGGCCUGAGAGGAGGCCUCGUAUUCGACUUGACGUUUUUUUAAAAGGUGUUUUACUAGGUAUCGUGGAUAGUAUUUAGAAAAUUUGAAGUUGAUUUAGACUUUGACUGCAAAUAUUGAUGUAGCAGAAAAUAUGCAGAAAACAUGACUAAAGCAUUAUUGUUGUGAAGAUAUCGCAAACUGAAUCAUUUAAGUUGAAUACCUCAAUGCCUACCUAUAGCUUCACCAGGUAAUCUGGAUGUGAUAUGUAACUUAUACCCAUGUUUUUGAACAUCAUGCAUUCUGAAGACAUUAGUUUUGUACUUUAAAAACCUUGUAUUGUAACAUGGACGUUUUUUUUUUAAAUAGAAAAUUGCAUAUUUUGAACAAUAUACUUGCAUGGUUUUGCUUUGUAAAUGGGUAAUCAACGGUUUUGAUUUGUAACUGGGUAAUCAAACACAAUGUAAUGGACCAAGUGUAAAGGACCAAAUGUUUGCAAAGUUGUGCAAAUCACACAACAUCAUAACUUCCAUAAAGAUUGGACACAUAUAGUCAUGUUUAAUUUCAAUCAAAUUUUAGAUUGAUUGGGAGCAACUACUUCUGAGGUUGAUUUGUUUUCUAGCUUUAAAUGAUAUAUAAAUGUCAAGUGUGUAGAUGUUAAACGGGUACCGGGAGGAAGGAAUGAUCAUGUGAGCGCUGAAAUUGGUACCCUAGUUAGCAAGAGCCAGGGUAAUAUUGGAGUGCUAUAGAACUAUCUAAUUUUGGCUAUUGUUAUUAUUUUAACAAAUAUAAACAUGAAAACAAAAGACUUGUCAACAUUUCAAAGGAAAGAAUAGCAAUUUGGAUAGUCAUAGAUACAUGUAGAACUGAAGUGUGUGCCUAUAUAUGAAGUCAGUACUAUAUUGCCUUGGUUAUUCCUCCGAACAUUCAGUUUCUAAUUAUGAAAAUAAUAGUACUUCAAAGAAUUCUUUAUGAAAACUGUUUUUAUAUUAAUGAAUUUGAAAUUGUGUCUACAUACAUACCAUGUGCAUCAAUCAUGUUUAAUUGAUUAAUAAGGGGAUGUAAACAAAAGUCUUAUUUUUACUCUGAUAAAAAAUAUAUUUUUUAAAUUAUUAAUCUAUGCGUAUCUUACUUGUCUUAAAACUGUUUUUGUCUUCCAUAAUAAAAUGUAGUUUAACUCAACUACCAGCUAGCUAUGA
Strongylocentrotus purpuratus (purple sea urchin) is the source of this 2520-nucleotide RNA transcript. It is a transcript of the gene named protein NipSnap homolog 3A, with no coding region annotated. Lineage: Eukaryota; Metazoa; Echinodermata; Echinoidea; Camarodonta; Strongylocentrotidae. The record is from RefSeq and is a predicted model, not a curated record. The transcript is spliced from 6 exons.